This 253-nucleotide ribosomal RNA is filed under the name uncultured bacterium. RNAcentral's name for it is "partial 16S ribosomal RNA". It matches the Rfam family "Bacterial small subunit ribosomal RNA", at positions 524 to 776 of the family's 1533-position model. The record is from RNAcentral.
UACGUAGGUGGCAAGCGUUGUCCGGAUUUACUGGGCGUAAAGAGCGCGCAGGCGGUCGUUCAAGUCGCGUGUGAAAGCCCUCGGCUCAACCGAGGAAUUGCCUUGGAUACUGCGGGGCUCGAGGCUGGAAGAGGACAGUGGAAUUCCCGGUGUAGCGGUGAAAUGCGUAGAUAUCUGGAGGAAUACCGGUGGCGAAGGCGGCAUCCUGGACCGGCAUUGACGCUGAUGAGCGAAAGCUAGGGGAGCAAACGGG